Mustela putorius furo (domestic ferret) is the source of this 107-nucleotide small nuclear RNA. The record is from Ensembl. NCBI's taxonomy places the organism in Eukaryota, Metazoa, Chordata, Mammalia, Carnivora, Mustelidae.
GGGCUCGCUUUGGCCGCACAUAUACUAAAGUUAGAAUGAUACAAAGCAGAUUAGCACGGCCCCAGCUCAAGGGCAACAUGAAAACUUGUAAAGCCAAAGCAAAGUCC